GUCUCACAAUGUUUCCCAGGCUGGUCUUGAACUCCUGGGCUCCAGUGAUCCUCCCACCUCAGCCUCCCAGAGUCCUGGGAUUACAGGCAUGAGCCGCCGUGCCCAGCCAGGUUUUGAGCAGAGGCAGGACAUAGUUCCACUUAGGUUCUAACAGGAUUCUCUAGCUGCUGUACAGAGAAGAGGCUCCCCAGGCAAGGACAGAACCAGGAGACCAAUGAGAAGGUGACCGCAGUAGUUCAGCUCCCCACAUUACUGAUGAGCUUCCUCGAGCUAAUGGAAUAAUGAAAACACAAAACAGAUUUACCAUUCUUAAUAAGAGAAAGAGAUAAUGAAGGCAAAUUAAAAUGGAGGCUCAGAUCUGCAUGGAGAACAGGUGUGAUGUUUGGAGUUAUAGCAGCCGCCUUGCAACCAUGAGGCAAGAAGCUGGAAAGACAAGCCAAGAGACUAAAACACUGUGACAUCACAUCUGACAAAAUUGAGCCACUGAACCAAUGCCAGCAGCUGUGUCCUCCAGAUUUCUUCUUAUGUGGGGCAAGACCUUUAUUAUUUAAGCCACCAGUGGUCUGAUAGUGUUACCUGAAGCCAAACAGACUCCUGUUUGAAACAGUGUGUUUGUUUCCCACUUAUCAUUGAGGAUCUGUCAAUGUCUCCCUCUCUCUCUCUCUUUAUUUAAUCUCCAGGGCAGAAUGACGAGUUAAUCCUACUCCUCGGGUCCUGGCACAUCAUCAUUGGUCCAAUCUCGAGAGAUUGAUUAAUUGGUUGAUUCCCUUUCAUUCCCUUUCCCUACUUUCUUUCCUUUCCCAUUCAUAGGCAGCCAUUCUAAUGCAUGUAAUAUAUUACAUAUUUCCAACUUGCAGGCAUUCAUAUGUGAUUUGCAUUGUCUUGUGUGCACAUGUAUUUUUAUCUUAUAUAAAUGGUAUUGUGCCGUAUAUCUUUUGCUUCUUGCACUCUGCACUGUGUUCUUAGAAUCCACGCAUGUUGCAAUGUGCGUGUCUCAUCCAUUGUUCUAACGCUGCUCAGAGCUCCCAGAGUGCAUCCUCCUUGUGGUGGACUUCCACGUAAGUUCUCUCCCCUCACCACCACCACUAAUGCUAGAAUGAUCAUCAUUGUACAGGUCUUCUUAUGCACUCUAAUGAUAACUCAUCUGGGGUUGAUAUCCAGAAGAGGAAUGGCGGGGUCCCAUACUUUUACAUGUACUUAAUUAGAUUCAACAGUGCCUGCUGUUCUUUAGAAUGGCUGCAUCAGACUAUCCUCCCAACAGAAAAUUUUUCAUCCUUUUUUUAUUACCUUUUGCAUUUUGAGUUUCCCUUGUUAGGUAGACUAAUAUUCAAGGCUUUCUUUCAUGGGGUUUUCCUGUUGUUAACAUGCAAUUUCUCUCUUUGUCCAUUUCAAAGCUCUUCACCUUGAAUUCCAUUUAGUUGGGCCUCAGAGCCUGAGCGUUUCCCAAUUUUUCAUGCAGCCUUUCUGACUCAAAGCUCGUGCCUGCUAAUCCUGUAUGAUCAAGAUUUAUGUCAAUGCCUGCAGUUCACGCAUGCCCACUGUUAAGAUGGGAUAAUGCCUCAUGAUGGAUUCUUCAAAACAACAGCCUUUGCCAGCAAAGAAAAAGAGACAGACUGUCCAAGAGGGGGCCCCAGUCAAAAGAGCUCACCUCACCUCUCCUGAUAGAUUGCUUAAUGAGUACACAUCCCUCCCAUCCAGUAAGCACGCCCCUUUGCGAGGUAACCCUGAAGCUCCUCCCCUCCAGAGGUGGGUUCUAUUUCCCCAGCCUUUUGAUUCUGGGCUUGAUCUUCUGACUUGAUUUAACCAAUAUUAUGUAGUAGAAAUGCCAGUGUGUGAGUUCCAGAGCUUGAGUCUUAAGAGGUUUGAAGCUUCUGCUUUCACCUUCUUGGAAACUCCAGACUACCAUAGAAGGCAGCUGGUGCAGCCUCCUGGGGAAUGAGACAUUCUGUGGAGGAGAGUGGAAGCAAUCCCUAGUCAACAACCAGCCAGACAUGAGGGAGAGGCUAUUAGGGCCUUUUCAGCCCCAGCCAGUCUCCCAACUUUGUGCAGCUACAUGAGUGAGCCUCAGCAAAACCAGCAGAGAAACUGCCCAGCCAACCUUUAGAAUCAUGAGAAAGAAGAAAUCAUUGUUUUGUGAUUUGUACACAAUGACAGAUAACGAAUAUACCUUUCUUAGCCUCAUGCUCCUCAUCUGUGAAAUGGGAAUAGCAGUCCCCAUCUAGUAGAGUUAUUUUGCACACUAACCAAUUGACUAGAUGUGAACAUACUUGCAAGCUAUAAAAAAAUUACAUGUGUUUAUUGUUAAUAGGCCUCAAUAUAUUGAGUAAAAUAUCUGGGCCCCUGGAAAGGUGAUCUAACAGUAUUUUGGCACAGUUAACACAAAUAGAGUGCUUAGGCACAGACCAGGCACUGUUCUAAGUUCCGUAAUUGUGCUAAUUCAUUUAACACUCAUCAUGGCUGGGAGCGGUUGUUCAUACCCGCAAUCCCAACACUUUGGGAGGCCAAGGCAGGAGGAUCACUUGAGGCCGGGAGUUCAAGACCAGCCUAGGAAACAAAGCAAGACUCUGCCUCUAUGAAAAAUAAAAUGUGAGCCAGCCAUGAUGGUAGGCAUCUGUAAUCUCAGUCUGUCAGGAAGCUGAGUUGGGAGGAUCGCUUGAACCCAGGAGUUCAAGGCUGCAGUGAGCUAAAAUAAGCCUGACUGAUAAAGCAAGACAAUGUCUCUGAAAAAAAAGAAAAAAGAAAAGAAACCCACUUACCAUAAGCAAGUCUACAAGGUUGGAACCAUGUUUUACAGGUGAGGAAACUGAGUCCUAGAGAGGUUAAGAACUUUUCAAAUGUCAUUCAGCUAAGAAAUGAUGGAGCUGGGAUCCAAGCCCAGGUGACCUGGCUCCUGAGCCCUUGUUCCCAUGAGAUAAUGGCAGGCAGACACGGCCAGGUGCGGUGGCUCACACCUGUAAUCCCAAUACUUUGGGAGGCCAAGGUGGGUUGAUCAUUUGAGGUCAGGAGUUCGAGACCAGCCUGGCCAACAUGGUGAGACCCCGUCUCUACUAAAAACAAAAAAAUUAGCCAGGCGUGGUGGCGUACGCCUGUAAUCCCAGCUACUUGGGAGGCUGAGGCAGGAGAAUCGCUUGAACUCGAGAGGCAGAGGUUGCAGUAAUCCGAGAUCACGCCACUGCACUCCAGCCCAGGCGACAGAGUGAGACUCCAUUU
Molecule: long non-coding RNA, 3210 nt
Filed under: Homo sapiens (human)
Lineage: Eukaryota; Metazoa; Chordata; Mammalia; Primates; Hominidae
Description: HSALNT0267954
Source: RNAcentral